GUUUCGCUAAUGUGGUUUCUUCAAGAAUUGGGGUUAGAAAGCAACCGUCCUGUCACCAUUUUUUGUGAUAAUAAAGCAGCAAUUCAAUUGGCCAAUCAUCCAGCCUACCACCCAAAAACCAAACACAUAAGGGUUAGCCUACCACAUCAUUCGCGACUACAUAGAAGAGAAAGAAAUCAAGGUGGUGAGCAUUGACACAAAAAAGCAACUGGCUUACAUUUUCACAAAGCCGCUACCCCACGCUGACUUCAAGAAAUUUUGCGAGCUGAUUAGUGUCCACCCUAUUAAAUAAUGUUUGUUCCCUCCACAAAAAAAAGAAAAGGCUAAAAAGGGGAAUUAUCUCCUCUGUGUCAACCACUUAACCUACAGUUACCUUUUUUUCUGUUUAUUUACUCUAAUUUCUCUGAGUGGGAUUGUUGGAACAGAGAAAUCUGUGUGCACCGUUUCUGGUUGCCAAACCCCAUGAGUUGCGGAAACCCAGGCAACUGUUUAGCUGCAGCUUGUCUCUCUACCUCAAAAGUGAGUCCCUACGGAAGUAAAGUAAAACUUGUCACUUGUGUUCUCAACCAUACGUAGAUAGCAACAACAUUAACAUCAUCUGAUGAUGACAGAUCAACCCUUAUUUGUUGAUAAGCUUCGGGACUUGAUGACAACGGUAGCCGUCGAAAUUUGUAUCGUCAACAAACGGUGUAGCCAUUUUAGUAAGAGAUGUAGGAUCGGCAGCUAAGUGAAGUUGAUGAAAUAUGAUGAGACUAACCCAAUCAGUAGGAUCGCUUAUUUUCAAAAUUAAACCAAUAUGUUUCAUUUCCUAAAAUUUUUCUUUAAACUGGGUCUCUAUGAUGAGCUGGGCACACCAAAGGUAAGCUGACUUUUAAAUUUAAAUGCCAUGUUCUACCGGCAGUCAAUUCAAUUGAACACUGACUCAAAUUUGUUAAUUAAAUUAGUCACUGAUGUUUCUUAAUGAAUAAAAGGUUCACUUUUCAUUUUAGGGUUUUGUAAUGAAUCAAUUAACUUGACUACAUUGAGGACCUUACACGAAGGCAGACCCCGCCAACACCGGAACAUCAACGUCUUCAGCCACGACACAAAUUAAAGGAAAUAUUGUUAUACGCCACAUCAAGUCGUUCUUGUCCUACCACGUUUACUGGCUGUCUAUGGUUUGCUGUAACUCUUGGACCAGGUAAAAAUCACACUCUAAAUUUUGAGACCCGUUCUACGUAGUACGGGUACGUACUAUGUAAUAAAUUGUCUACUGUAUUUUGAGUUCCUUUUUUCCUUUGUUGUUUUCCAUCAUCAAACUGAAACCCUUUUUCUCGUCGUUGACUUAUAUAUUAUUGAUUGUGGAAAUGAAUUCUCUAAUGCA
RNAcentral lists this long non-coding RNA (1363 nucleotides) under Daphnia pulex (common water flea). RNAcentral describes it as "uncharacterized LOC124192071, transcript variant X1". Lineage: Eukaryota; Metazoa; Arthropoda; Branchiopoda; Diplostraca; Daphniidae. The record is from RNAcentral.